Bombus pascuorum is the source of this 1212-nucleotide long non-coding RNA. RefSeq lists it as uncharacterized. Lineage: Eukaryota; Metazoa; Arthropoda; Insecta; Hymenoptera; Apidae. The record is from RefSeq and is a predicted model, not a curated record. The transcript has 3 exons.
GCAAAUAUUUAUUAACUCUUAAUACAAGAUAUUCUUUAAUGAGAAUGUAUGUAUACAUAACUUAGGCGAUAAAUGACAAAUGUUGGUAAAAGAAGAUGUGAAACCAGUUAAUUUUGCUUUAAUAAGAAUUCAAAAUAUGGGAGGAAACAUUCAUUUUGUGGCUGAUUAGAAUUUUCAAGAAUUAAUUGAAAGUUUUAAUAUUAAGAGAUUUGUAUGGUUCUAAUCAGUUCAUUAUACCAGAACAUGAGGGCUACAAAAUAAAAAGAGGUAUUUUUUAUCUUAGAGAAAAGACUUACAAGAGAUGGCUAAGAAAUUGAUUCAAAAGUAAAUUGAGCAUAGAAAGUAAAGCAUUGAAAAGACCAGAGAAUCAAGGAAAUGAAUGCAUGGGGACUGAAGAUAUGAAAUAGAAGAAAAAUCCUUAAAAAUUCCAAACAUGACAAAUUCAUCUACCAAAGAUACUUAACAAAUUACUUUUAAUAACAAAUAUUGAAGGAAAUAUACAACACGAAUUAAAUUUAAAAUAAGGAGAUGUUCUGUUUUUAACUUGUGGAGAAAAGAUUCGCAUGGUUAGAGGAUUACAUUAUGGUUUGGUUAUGAAUGGUUUUGAAACUGCAAGAGGAUCAAUAUGAAUUCACGGAUCAAAAUUACAAAUAGAAAUAUUUUAAAUGCUAAAUAUAGAUGAAUUAUCCUUAAUGCAAAUACUUGAUGAAAUAUUUAAAAUCUGUUAUUCCACUUCAUGGUGGAAUUGCUAUAGGUAUUUUAUUUUUAAUUCAAAUAUCAGCAAUAUUCAAUAAUAUUGAAUUAUAGGAUCAUUUAAUAUGUUUAAUCCAUAAUACCAAAACUAUAAAAAACGAUGAAGCAAGAUUUAAUAUCAAGAGUACUUUUGAGAAAAUAAAAAGAUUUUGUCAUAUACAGACAAUAGACAAAUAAAACCUUUUGUAUUUUUUACUAUAUUGUAAAAUUAAUUCUAAAAGGUUAGUUUGUUAUCUUUAAAAAAUUCUUUUCAAUAAUUUGUGUAUAUUUUAUACAAUAUGUCUAAUAUUUUUAUGCUCUUUAUAAUAAUCGUCAUACUAUAUGAAAAAUCUGUUUAUAUAAUAUAAUAUAAUGUAACCAUGAAAAGUAUUCAUAUAUUACUUUAUAACAUCAAUUUUGUACAAAAAUAUUUAAAAACACAAUUUUAUUUUAAGUAGAAUAAAAUUCAAUUCCAAAGUA